AAUUAGAGCCCCCUCUACCUUUAAAAAUCUGUCAAUAUUAAUUUUUUAAUGAUGGUUGCUUUGAGCAAUGCUACUAUUCAAGCUAAGGAUAGUUUGUGCAUUGCAUGCCACUCACCCAUGUUAACAAGGAAUGCUGAACUUGGUGUUUCGUCUUUUUCUCAGAGCUUUCGUUCUGGCUUGCAAGUAUUGUACGUAACAAUUAUGCGGCCCGAGCUCGUCAUUUUGUCAGUUAUCCGGCCCACUGUACAAAAAGUUUGGUGACCCCUGUUCUAGAGGAUUCUAGAAUUCUAGCGGUUAACAGUGCGCGAGAGACAU
This 315-nucleotide long non-coding RNA is filed under the name Androctonus crassicauda. The record is from RNAcentral. Lineage: Eukaryota; Metazoa; Arthropoda; Arachnida; Scorpiones; Buthidae.